AGCGAACGUUUGCGGCGGGCCUAACACAUGCAAGUCGAACGCACUAGCAAUAGUGAGUGGCGCACGGGUGCGUAACACGUGGGUAAUCAACCCUUCAGCCUGGGAUAACGACUCGAAAGGGUCGCUAAUACCGGAUACGGCGCGAGAGGCUUCGGCUUCUCACGAGAAAGCCACGCAAGGGGCACUGAAGGACGAGCCUGCGGCCCAUCAGCUAGUUGGUGAGGUAAGAGCUCACCAAGGCUAAGACGGGUAGCUGGUCUGAGAGGAUGAUCAGCCACACUGGAACUGAGACACGGUCCAGACUCCUACGGGAGGCAGCAGUGAGGAAUAUUGCGCAAUGGGCGAAAGCCUGACGCAGCCACGCCGCGUGAGCGAUGAAGGCCUUCGGUCGU
This 392-nucleotide ribosomal RNA is filed under the name uncultured bacterium. RNAcentral's name for it is "bacterial SSU rRNA". It matches the Rfam family "Bacterial small subunit ribosomal RNA", at positions 29 to 426 of the family's 1533-position model. The record is from RNAcentral.